UAUGCAGCAGAGGGGUGACCCACGAAGGAAGCAACAUUUGGGGUGCGGAGAACCCAGGGCUCCAGGAAGGGCCGGGCUCUGAGCCGGAGAGGGGGCCACACCCGAGCAGGCCGAGGGGGAGCAGCAGCCAUGGCCAGUGAGGUCCGUGCAUGUGGACCAGGGCCAGCGGAGACCCAGCUCUCCCCACUUCGAGAAAAGCAGCGCCCUGCUGAGAGCAUGGGAGCACCAAGCCACGCUGACAAAAUGCAGAGGAUUUGGAACCAAAGCCAGUGACCUGAUACGGAAGUGCGGUCAAAACACAGGAAGUUCUGUGGCCCUGUAGCACCAGCUUUGGGGAUUCACCUCUCACGUGCCUUUGGAAUCUUGAGACACUGGGGCCAGAACACACCGAGAAUUAUUUGGGUGAAGCUUCCUGCUUCGCUAGCAACAGUUAUUUAGAUGGAAUCACUAUAAUUACUUCUUCCCCAAAAAUAUAUUAGAUGCACAACAAAAACUUCAAAAACAAUAGUAGGUAUGAUGGACGUUAUAUCGAUAGAAUGUGAUUUGUGGUACUAAUUACUGAGAUUUCUUUUGAGGCAUUGAUACAAUCGGUAUACAAUUUUCUAAUGAGCUGUUACAUUUUCAUGGACUUUUAUACCCUUCCUUGCAGAGCCAUAAGGAAAGUCAGUUGAUCAGAGCAAUUUCUUCAAGAAUCUGCCUAUUACACCAGGCGUGUUGGCACAAGUCUAUGAUCCCAGCACUCUGAGAGGCUGAGGCAGGAGGAUCCCAAAUUCAAGACCAGCUUAGGCAAUUAGCAACUUAGCCGGACUAUUUCUCAAGAUAAAAUAGAAACAUAAAAACAGAGCUGGAUCUAUAGCACACUCUCGAGGCCCUGAAAUCAAUCUCCCAAACAUUUCCCUUCCUAUUGUUAUACCGCCAGAUCCCACGGUCCCAAAAGUCAAAAGGAACCCUGAAGCAUGCUCACGCAAUGAAUUAUGGAUGCAUAAAAAGCAGUGGUCCUUACGCUUGGGUAAUGAAUCGGCCUGGCAGACGAAUGUUCUUGUGAACAGAUUAAUUUUUUUCUCUAUGCUUGGUGCAUAAAACAGAAGUUUUCCCCACACAAGCACACUUUCUAAAAGCACCAAGCCCCUGUCAUUUGACAGUUACAUCUGGGUCAUUUUUAUUUCUUCUUCCGGAUUACAUGGGAAAGAUGUGCAUUUGCCCUGGGUAUUUGUGCAAAUGUUUUAAACCUUUUUUCUCACGCUGAGGUUGGUGUGGUUUAGAGCUAUUCAGAUAAGGGAGAGACAGGGCUGAAGAGACAAAAGUCUGAACUAGUUUGUUUAAAACUGCGGAAAUCAGAAUAAACAUCUAAAGGUAUUUUAAGUUUCCGGUCACCUGUGAGAGUUGAAACAGCAGUUCCAAAAUCUGUCAGGUUUCUGAGGGAAUCUCAUGUUUUCUCAGAAAAAUGUAUGAACCUGAGAAGGAAAAUAAUGUAUUUGACACAUUUAGCAGACUCUAGUUGUCCCGGUAAGCGCACCUGUCCGUAGCGCCGCCUAGUGGUCAAGGUGGUUUUAUAAAUACUACGGUGCUGCUGAACAGCAAUUCGGUUGUUCUGGGACUUCGACACUAGACGGCAAUAGAUUUCCUUUGAAAGGGGCUUUGAGAAUCUUAAUAGCUGGAAGAAAAAAAUAGAAUAGGUGUACACUUGUCCAAAAGUAGGGGAAAAUUGCCAUCCUUUUUUACAAUAGACUUUGCAGCAGAAGGCAGUCAUAUAAAAAGACCCGUUUUUGUACUUUUUGUCAGUUCUCCGCUAGAAGCAGAAUAUUCUACAGCUUCCUGUUUCCUUUAUGAUAGAUCUCAGAUUUUCUCACCCUCCUGAAAGUCCUGAGACAACUACGACACAACCCAGCUGUGCCGGCUCUGCAUCAAAAGUUAGUCAUUAACAAGACUCUAAUAAAUAAAGGGCUGGGGGCCGAAAAGCCAACGAGAAAUGCACCGAGUGAGCUUGUCCGCCUGCACCCCGUUGUCGAUGACCAGAGAAGACACACACGUGGUGUCGAGGACUGACGCCCAUCUGCUUUCUUCCUCUCCCGAGGCGAAGGACUCUUCCUCGCUCAGCGUGGUCAUCCGGAAGCAACCACCCCACCCUGACACAAGAGUGCACAUGUGAGACCCAGCGAAGAACUUCCUUAGCGCUGCCACCGCCUCAGAAUGCAAGGCAGCCAGCAGCUGCGCCUUCUCCUUUAUGACAUGCGUCUCCUCCCUAGUCCACAGCACACCCACGUCUCCCAAAAUUGUCCAGGGAGUGCAGCACGCAGCAGUCAGCGAAGCGUGAAGCCUGCCUCUCCGUGACAGACUAACUUCUCCUGCAGGGUCUCGCUGCCCACUGGGCUUGGAACGAGAGUAGGGGAUGCCCGCUCCCUUGACCUGAGACACAGACCCUUCCUUCAGGACCAGCACUCAGGUCGUGACAGGACUGGAGGCUUAAACAAGUCCUGACUGAAUGGAGAAAGGAAGUGUGGACCUCUCGGGGGAGUGGUCGCACUGGCUCCACGGGUGGAUAUGCAGUCACUGUCUGCUAAGAGUCUGCUCCCCGGGGCCAGAGGGUGGCACCCUGACCUUUACCCUUAGCUGGACGAAGCAGAAGGGCAGGGUCCUGGCGCUCCGUAAACACGGCAAGUAAGCACCGUGCUGCUCUUCCUAACAGAAAGGACACAGCUCCUGGCGCUGCUGUGAGCCGGGACGUCCGGCUGGGAUGGGCUCGGGGGGGACAGGCUGCACUGCCACAGCCCUGCCCCAGGGCGGCCUCAGCCACGCAGAGGACACGCGCCCUGCCCCUGUUCCUGCUGCGCCCAGCAAGGCGGUCACGGAGCAGCUUCCUUUCCAGAGGGACACUUCCGGUCCUGGUCUUCACUUCGCCCUGCGGUGAGGUUGGAUAGCAACUGUGGGAAGAGGAAAUCAGGCUUCUGGGGCAACGCCACACUAUAGGCGUAUUCCAUAGGUGUCUUCCUUCCAGCUUUGUGAAUUUCUGAAUGUGUCUCAGGACAGUUCCACAAAAAAACAAAAAGCCGAGAGAAGUGAGAAGUCCCACCUGACAGGACAGAGGAGCCGCUCCUUGGACUAAUUAAAAUAAGACAGUAUCACCUCGUGCGAUUAUUUUCCAGAAAAUAGCUGACGUGCACACACUGCGCCUGGCAGAAUUCCUGGCCAACUGCGCAAGAAUGGUAAUUCCAGGCUGAGAUCAUCUCUUAAAGAAAGAGAAAGACUGAGAAACGGAAUGGGUGAGGACAGAGAGGGAGACAAAGGGAAGUGGGAAGGAAGGAGGGAGAGAGAGAGAACUCUGGACAAAUCAGGAAGUUUUCUCAUUCUGACCAGAUACCUACCCAGUCCUAUAGGAAAGUUGUAUUACAAAGGAGACAAAAUAUUUUUACCAGAUUCAUUAAUGUAAAACAUCCUGGCCUCAAAUUCACAUGAAGAAUCAUAGCAUUAUGCUGUGGUAUGUUGUUUUAGACUUUAAUAAUUGUCCUCAUUAGCAAGGUGACUGUAAGGAGAAGUAGCCAGGAUGAACCUCUUCCGCUUCCUGUGGGUGCUGGAAUCGCAUUCCACCCAUCCCCCAGCCUGGGGACAGCCAACGUGGGCGGGCUGUCACAGCCAGCCAGAGAGCCGACGCUGUCACUGAUGUGGACAGGGCAGACCCCGUCCCCUAGGACGGUCACACAGAGCCAUUUUCCUGAAUCGCUCUGCUCACUGAAUCCCACCAAAAGGCAACCAGGGCAAAUUGGGUUUUUUCAUUUUCUUGUGAUUCAGUUUGGAAUUUUUGACUACCAAGGAUUAUUUUUAAUUCCUGUUACUAAUCCAAGGGAGGAAAAGUAUAAUUAGAGAGUGAAAAUUAUUAUUUGCUGAUGUUUUCACUUAGCAAGAAUAUCAGGAUUUUAGUCCUGAAGAGGAAAUAGAAUUUAUAGUUUGCUUCAGACAUACUGUGGUCCCCAAAAUAUUACUAGGAUUUUAAAAUGUGUUGCUGUUGUUAAUAAUAUUUUCUUUUUUUGUUUAUCUGCACUCCGUUUUGUGAAAUGUUGAGUUCUAAAGAAAUAGAUUUAAAUAACACUUGCAAGUUUUUUGGUUUGGUUUGGUUUGGUUUGGUUUUUCAAUACUGAGGAAGGAGCCCAGGGUCUUUCCCCUGAGCUACAUUCCCAGCCAUUUUUAUAUUUGAGACAGGGUCACUAAGUCACUAAGUUGCCCAGGUUGGACUCAAACAUGUCAUCCUCCUGCCUCAGCCUCCCAAAGUGCAAGGAUUAUAGCUGUGAGCCAGCUGCAUUUGCAGGCUCUAUGAGUUUCUCACCAACAUUAAAGCUGUCCCAGGUAAACUGGAAGGUUAUGUAUAGUUGCAAGAUCUCACACCAAAUUUGUUUUAAAUGCUCAUUCGACAAGACAAGUGCAGGCCACACAGAGAGAAUGGUGGAGAAUUGGGCCAAGUUGAGGCCUCCCUGAGCUUCCCACUUUGUUCUCUUUCGGAAACUUCAAUUAACAGGGAGGCCGAAACACCACACUACCAGGGGUGAAGUAGGAUACGGAAUAAGCAUUUUAUUAACUUAUAAUCAAUAGUGUCAAAAUUGUUCACAUUAACUCUUUUAGGUCUAAAGAAGAUAAAGUAUUAUCCAUGCCAUGCCAUUGUUUCUAUGUUUUCCUUUUCUAUAGAGAUUAUUCUGUCCUUAUAAAUAACAAGCAGGAAAAAAAUCCUUCCAUUUAGGUGCCGUCUAAAUCGGCAAGGUGGAAGUAAACUUUUACUAACCUUUUAGCUCUAUCAUAGUCAAAAAGAAAAAACAGUCUCGGGAGAUAAACUUCUGAUAGGAUAUCUUUAAAUAAAGUUAGCUAUGUCAUGUCAUUUUUCCCUGAAUAAAUGUACUUCGUCAAAUUUUCUUGCAAA
This is a non-coding RNA of Heterocephalus glaber (naked mole-rat), 4903 nucleotides long. Lineage: Eukaryota; Metazoa; Chordata; Mammalia; Rodentia; Bathyergidae. The record is from RefSeq and is a predicted model, not a curated record.